GUAUUUCUCUCUCUGCGCCAACCAGCACUGCUUGCUCACGCCUGUUUCUCCUUUUCCUUGCCGGUGGGGAGGUCAUGGGAUGCGCAAGCACUUUGUCUCUUGCUUUGUUUUCAGUCGCCAUAUUUAAUCUACGUCGAAACUUCAAAAUAACAUUAGGGGGAAAAAUGUAGCGUCAUGUUUAUCAGACGAGGACCUGAGCUUAACAAGCGAUUGAGAGAAAAUCCUUGGGAAGCUGUUAAAAUUUGUGUGUCAAUGCGUUUGUUAUUCUUUUAACCAGUACUCACUGAAUACCUGUAUGUCAGGCUCUCGAGGAAUACAGUACAGACAUGGGAGUGGAGACGGGGUUUCACCGUGGUCUCGAUCUCCUGACGUCGUGAUCCGCCCGCCUCGGCCUCCCAAAGUGCUGGGAUUACAGGCGUGAGCCACCAAGCCCGGCCUCCAGUCACGAUUUUAGGUGUGUACAAUUGACACACCUAAAGACAAACUGGUACAGGAAGAUUUGCCUCACCCGCUCUUCUGGAAGUAUGGUUUUGGAUCACCUAUCCAGAUGGACCAGAGCUCUUGUUAAAAGUGCAGGCUUGUGAGUCAUACUUCAUUUGCUGAAUCCAAAUCUCAGUGAUGGGGGCCCAGAAAAUAUAUCUCUAACAGGCUCCCCGUUAAUACACACUGAAAUUUAAGAACCACUAGCUAGGUUCUCUGUGAUAAGUUCCUCCUUCGUAUAUACCUCAACCAGCCAAAAAGGUGGCAACGCAAAGGCAUUCCCAGUGCUUCUAUUCUUGGGGAAUAUGCAUAGGCUUUGUGCCUCCUCUGCAAUCCUUUAGGUGCGACAUUCUCCUAUAUAGUAGUAGGAUGAGAAGAUUAAACUAGGUAAUGUGUAAGAGUUUUGAACAAAUGAAAAGUACUGGGUAAAUAUAGAGCUGUUAUUAUAGCUAAUAUAAUAUUAGUAUAACACACUCCUCUAUUUCCAUUCAUAUAUCCCAUGAAACCAACCAAAACCAGAGAGCACCACCGUCUUGCUCCCAUAGACUCCCUCGUCCCAGCUUCCACAUCACUAUUAAUAUUCGUCACUAUUUUUCUUCUCCAAAUAUUUCUCCUUCUGACUAAGAAAAAAAUGGAAGAUUUAUAACCUCUGCCUCCCGGGUUCAAGCGAUUUUCCUGCCUCCGCCUCCCUGGUAGCUGGGAUUACAGGCACGCGCCACCACACCCGGCUAAUUUUUGUAUUUUUAUUAGAGACAGGGUUUCACCAUGUUGGCCAGGCUGGUCUUGAGCUCCUGACCUCAGGUGAUCUGCCACCCUCAGCCUCCCAAAGUGCUGGGAUUACAGGCAUGAGCCACCGCACCCCGCCAAAUUUACUCUUUUUAAAAAACUACAUUUUCUGUUACGUCAGGAAAUGUGGGAUAAGAAAGAAGAGAGAUGUACCAUCUUAAUCCAAUCUCUGAUAAUAAUCUAAUUUUCUUGAGGGUGACUACAUCAUUUCCAUCCCUAAAUUCUGCACAGACUUGUUCCCCACCUAACACUCAAAAAAUAUCUGCUAACUGAUAAAACACUAAGUGGCCAUCACCAGGGUGAAAGGAACUGAUGGAGGUUACCAGUGGACACAGGCCAAGGAGAUGAGACCAUUAUUGUCUGAAGGCCACUGUGUUCUCCCCAUGAACUCAGCAAGCUCUCCUGGCCUUCAAGUCCCCAUGAGGGCAUCUUUGACCAAUACUGCCUGAUAAUGGAGAAAUCCUGUCAGGACCUUUGAAAAGUUUCUUAACCUAUCUCCUGGGGGAUGGGAGGGAGGUUAUACCAUCUUGUUCUCUUCUAACUGUUGUGGAGUCUCCUCUGCUUAGCACAAGAGGCUAUAAUGAUGGAUGAGCUGCCUACACUUGAGUGUUCAGUGUGAAGCUGAGUGACUUGAAUGUCUGCUUCCCAGGCCUGCAAAUCCUCCAGCACAGGAGUCCUGACUUGGGAUCUACAGAACCCCCUAGGUGUCCAUGAAUAGGAAUCAGCACUGUGAACCUGGAUGGGGGAAAAACCAAAAAUCACAUCUUUAUUCUCACUAACCUCUAACUGAAGUUUAGCAUUUCCUUUCAUUAUGAAUGCAGGUCACAGAUUACAGUGCUGCCUGUAGUACUCUUGACUUUGUCAAUCAUAAAAAGUAUAGAUAUUUUCAUACCACAUUUUAGUUGUAGUAGAUCUCUCAAAAUAUCACUUACUUUAAUCCUAUUUUUACAUUAUUUGACCCAAUGCUAGAUUGUGUUAUUUAAUGAAUUAAUAAAGCAGCAAACAUAGUAGUAUGUUACAAGGUAGCUUUUAUUCCUUUUCUCCUUUUAGAGAGAUGGUUUCAGUCUGUUCCCCAGGCUAGGGUGUGAUCACGGCUCACUGUAACCUCAAACUCCUGGGCUCAGGUGAUCCUCCCACCUCAGCCUCCCAAGUAGCUGGGACUACAGGCAUGCGCCACCAUGCCUAGCUAAUUUUUAAAUAUUUUGUAGACAUGAGGUCUUGCUAUGUCGCCCAGGCUUGUCUUAAUCAUAUUUGUCUUGUAAUUCUAUUUAUUUUAUAUACUUAAAAGUCUCUUUUUUUUUUUUUUUUUGGAGACAGAGUCGCUCUGUUGCCCAGGCUGAAGAGCAGUGGGCGAUCUCAGCUGAGUGCAAGCUCCACCUCCCGGGUUCACACCAUUCUCCUGCCUCAGCCUCCGGAGUAGCUGGGACUACAGGCGCCCGCCACCACGCCCAGCUAAUCUUUUUGUAUUUUUAGUAGAGACAGGGUUUCACCGUGUUAGCCAGGAUAGUCUCGAUCUCUUGACCUCGUGAUCCACCCGCCUCGGCCUCCCAAAGUGCUGGGAUUACAGGCAUGAGCCACUGCACCCGGCCUAAAAGCCUCUUCUAAGAAAGGUUCCACAGGCUUCACCAGCCUUCCAAAGAGGUCCGCUGCACACAAAAGUUUCAGAAUUUCUGGUGUAUUAGGCCUACUGGAUCUUUUUCUGAAACCAUGAACAAUCAAAAGAGUAAUAUAACCAAUGACAAUUCCUUGAAAAUUAACGUCUGAAAAAGCUUCUUGGGAGAAUUUGAUCUGUGAUUGAAAGGAUAAACAGAAUUACAGAGGAGAAGUGAUUACACUCAGGGAAAAUGGAAAUGUAAGCAAAGCUACUGUUUCAGAUCAACUGCCCUAGAAGCAGAGCCCAAGACAGGGAUUCUAUGCAAUUGACCUGUUGAAGGAGUGCUCUCAGGAGAAACACAUCAGAAGGUGAAUGAGCAGAAUAUGGAGGGGAAGGAGCUCAGCAAGAUGUGGCCUCAGCCAGAGUCCACCUCAGCCCCAUCUCCUGGGGAGCUCUGGAGCAUUAGUGACAACUCAAGGUUGUCAUGAUUUGAGACAAGGCUUAACAACCCUGCUUUGCCCCUGCAUGGCAUAGGCCAGGGCCAAUCCUUCAGAGAAGGGGGAAGCUUUGAGCCGUUAGUGGCAAAUACCUGAAGCAACUGGGGGAAUGGAUACACCAGCUUGCCAAGAGGACCUGGCCAAGGCAGACACUACCUUGCGGAGGUGACAGUGAACAUAGCGUGCUGACGAACAGUGAGGUGGGCAGAUAUAUUUGAGGAGAUGAGUUAUAGUGAGGAUUGGUGAGUAAGUAGGACUGGUGCAUGUUCAAGGUCCGAGAGAAACAGAGAGAGUUUUGUGAGCAAUACUAAGCACCCUGUUGAGGUUGGUGACCAUGAAGUUUAUUGUGGUGCAAUUGUGUGUGAUUUCACGGUGAGAGCAAACCAAAAGUGAGUUCAUCCAAAAGUGAUAUUUUGCUAGAGAGUGGUACAAGGGAGUUGAGAGUGUUGGCAAAAUGGGAUCAGGAGGCAAGUGAAGACAGAAGAGAUCUAAUCAACAGGCAGCUGAGGAAAGAAUCAAAGACCCCCCCAAAAUAUUCAAAGAGUAGUACUUGUGGGAGUUGUUGAGCAAGUAACAUGGGAAGAGAGGACGCUGCUUCCACCAGUGGUUUUGGAGGUGGAGUAGAUGCUGGUGAUAAUGAAGUCCCAGAUAGGAAAUGGGAGUGGAUGCCAAGGAGAUCUCAAGGACCCUGCAGAUGAGGACUCAAACCCACAAUAUUGAUGAGGCAUCCAUGUCACCAUGGGAGUCAACGAGGAUAGUGGCCUCAGCUGAGGCAGGGAAAAGCUGGGAUCCAAGUGACAUAGUCUUCUCUUGAUAAGCAAGAGAGACCAGGAGAUGAGAGAUGGCAGAGAAUGAGAGAGGUGAUAUCAGUUACCAGAAAGAGCCCCUAAAAGGCAACACUUCUUUUUUUCCAUUAGUUUUAAUAUAGAAUUUUGCUUUAGUACUUUUAAUUAGAUAACCCUCUUUUAAAAAUAUAUAUUUUUUAAAAUAUAUUUUUUUCUUACCAUACCAACUCACAGCCCCAAUCUUUUUGCCCUAACCUCAGAAUCAGUUAGUUGUCCGCUUUAAAACCCUUUUCUUACACACACACACACACACACACACAGAAUAUAUAGUAUUGUUUUUGGUGUAUGAGUGUGUGCGUCGGAAUAAAUGGUUUCAUACUCUAUAUACUUACUGUUUUAUAAUUUACCUUCUUCACUCAACACUGUAUCUCAGAUGUCUUAGAGAUCUAAGACACCAUAUCUUAGAGAAUGAGCAGCCUCAUUGUUUUAUUCCGUAAUAUGAAUUUACUAAAUUUAUUGGGCCUUUUUUUUUGAGACAGAGUCUUACUCUGUCACUCAGGCUGGAGUGCAAUGGCACAAAAUCGGCUCACUGCAAGCUCCGCCUCCUGGGUUCAAGUGAUUCUCUUGCCUCACGCCCAGAUAAUUUUUUGUAUUUUUAGUAGAGACAGGGUUUCACCAUGUUGGCCAGGCUGGUCUCAAACUCCUGACCUCAGGUGAGCCACCCGCCUCGGCCUCCCAAAGUGCUGGAAUUACAAGCAUGAGCCACCGAGCCCGGCCUGAGCCUUUCUUAAAUUGAUGAUAGUGUGGUUUCUAGUUUGGGCCAUUAUCAGCAACAUUGCUGUGUACAUAUCUUUAUAUCAGGGUGUCCAAUCUUUCAGCUUCCCUGGGCCCAUAUUGGAAGAAGAAUUGUCUUGGGCCACACAUAAAAUACACUAACACUAAUGGUAGUCGAUGAGCUAAAAAAAAAAAAAAAAAGGAAAAAAAAGCUCGUGUAUUUUACAAAAGUUUUACGGAUUCGUGUUGGGCUGCAUUCAAAGCCGUCCUGGGCCGUGGGUUGGACAAGUUUACUGUACAUCUUUCUUUGUACACACGAUGAAUGUCACAAAGAGCUCACAAAGCACCUGUACCAUGUGUAUGUUUCAGUUAUGAAUAUGUUCUGCAAUAAACAGAAAACUCAU
Molecule: long non-coding RNA, 5320 nt
Filed under: Homo sapiens (human)
Lineage: Eukaryota; Metazoa; Chordata; Mammalia; Primates; Hominidae
Description: HSALNT0399219
Source: RNAcentral